Molecule: ribosomal RNA, 292 nt
Filed under: uncultured bacterium
Lineage: Bacteria
Description: partial 16S ribosomal RNA
Rfam family: Bacterial small subunit ribosomal RNA
Source: RNAcentral
GUGCUAGCAGCCGCGGUAAUACAGAGGUCUCGAGCGUUAGGCGGAAUCACUGGGCUUAAAGCGUGUGUAGGCGGCGGGCUAAGUACCUUGUGAAAUCCCACGGCUUAACUGUGGAACUGCUGGGUAUACUGGUUCGCUUGAGCGGUCUAGGGGCGAGCGGAACAAAUGGUGGAGCGGUGAAAUGCGUAGAUAUCAUUUGGAACGCCAACGGUGAAAACAGCUCGCUGGGGACCUGCUGACGCUGAGACACGAAAGCCAGGGGAGCGAACGGGAUUAGAUACCCCUGUAGUCC